RNAcentral lists this transfer RNA (87 nucleotides) under Alphaproteobacteria bacterium. Its description in RNAcentral is "tRNA-Ser". It matches the Rfam family "tRNA". From Rfam's summary of the family: Transfer RNA (tRNA) molecules are approximately 80 nucleotides in length. Their secondary structure includes four short double-helical elements and three loops (D, anti-codon, and T loops). The record is from RNAcentral. Lineage: Bacteria; Pseudomonadati; Pseudomonadota; Alphaproteobacteria.
GGAGAGUUGGCAGAGUGGUAAUGCAGCGGAUUGCUAAUCCGUCAUCAUGAAAAUGAUGCACAGGUUCGAGUCCUGUACUCUCCGCCA